GUAGGUACCUUGGUUAUUGCAAUUUGCCAGACAAUACUAUGACUGACACAUUACAUAUUCUUCUCUCAGUGUAAGAAAUGGUUACAAAAGAUGUUACAAUUCCUGCCUCUGCAUUAAGCAUAACUCUUGGCCUUACAUUUCUUAUUGGCUUUUUUUGUGGAUAUCAAGCAAAAUCCUGGAGGAUUGAGUGGCUCAAGAGAAGGAAAGAUAGACUGCAUAGAAAAGUUCUGCAAAUUCAGGCUGAAAUUGAUUCACUUCAGAAAUAAAGUUGGUUUUCUCAGUGUCAACCAUGAGUGGGAGUGAAGAACAAACUUUGGAGUUUUUAGAGUCUCGGCUUAAACAACUCGAACAGAAAAUGUUUGGCUCAGCUCCAAGAGACACAAAUUAUCCAGAGGUGAUCAGCACAUUGGCUGCACUGAGCACUGAUCUGGGCAACGCUCUGAGCACCCGGGACCGCAUGAUGGCUGUCAUGAA
Hyalella azteca is the source of this 474-nucleotide long non-coding RNA. RefSeq lists it as uncharacterized. NCBI's taxonomy places the organism in Eukaryota, Metazoa, Arthropoda, Malacostraca, Amphipoda, Hyalellidae. The record is from RefSeq and is a predicted model, not a curated record. The transcript is spliced from 4 exons.